Molecule: ribosomal RNA, 920 nt
Filed under: uncultured bacterium
Lineage: Bacteria
Description: bacterial SSU rRNA
Rfam family: Bacterial small subunit ribosomal RNA
Source: RNAcentral
AGAGUUUGAUCCUGGCUCAGGAUGAACGCUAGCGGCAGGCUUAAUACAUGCAAGUUGAAGGGCAGCAUGAUAUACGUAAGUAUAUUGAUGGCGACCGGCGGACGGGUGGGUAAAAGGUAGGAGACCUACCUCAUACAGGGGGAUAGCAUAGAGAAAUCUGUGGUAAUACCCCAUGAGGUUAUAUGAAUAGAGGCAUAUAAUCAAAGUAUACGAGAGUAUGCGGUAUGAGAUGGGCCUACUGACCAUUAGCUAGUUGGUGAGGUAAGGGCUCACCAAGGCGAAGAUGGUUAGGGGUUUUGAGAGAGAGAUCCCCCACAUUGGAACUGAGAUACGGUCCAGACUCCUACGGAAGGCAGCAGUAGGGAAUAUUGGGCAAUGGGCGAAAGCCUGACCCAGCCAUGCUGCGUGAAGGAAGACGGCCUUAUGGGUUGUAAACUUCUUUACUAUACGAAUAGAGGUUAGUACGAGAUACUAAUAGGAAGGUAGUAUAGCAAAAAGCACCGGCUAACUCCGUGCCAGCAGCCGCGGUAAUACGGAGGGUGCAAGCGUUAUUCGGAAUUACUGGGUUUAAAGGGUGCGUAGGCGGUUAUAUAAGUUGUCAGUGAGAGGCUACGGCUCAACUGUAGUAGUGCUGGCGAUACUGUAUAACUAAGAACAUGGGAGGGGUACCUGGAAUGUGUGGUGUAGCGGUGAAAUGCAUAGAUAUCACACAGAACACCGGAGGCGAAGGCGGGGUACUAGACCAUAGUUGACGCUGAGGCACGAAAGCGUGGGGAGCAAACAGGAUUAGAUACCCUGNUAGUCCACGCCCUAAACGAUGAUCACUAGAUAUUGGCGACAUACAGUCAGUGUCCAAGCGAAAGUGAUAAGUGAUCCACCUGGGGAAUACGGCCGCAAGGUUAAACUCANUGAAUUGACGG